Molecule: ribosomal RNA, 277 nt
Filed under: uncultured prokaryote
Description: partial 16S ribosomal RNA
Rfam family: Bacterial small subunit ribosomal RNA
Source: RNAcentral
UACGUAGGUGGCGAGCGUUGUCCGGAAUUACUGGGUGUAAAGGGAGCGCAGGCGGGGAAGCAAGUCAGCUGUGAAAUCUAUGGGCUUAACCCAUAACGUGCAGUUGAAACUGUUUUUCUUGAGUGGAGUAGAGGUAGGCGGAAUUCCGAGUGUAGCGGUGAAAUGCGUAGAGAUUCGGAGGAACACCAGCGGCGAAGGCGGCCUACUGGGCUCUAACUGACGCUGAGGCUCGAAAGUGUGGGGAGCAAACAGGAUUAGAUACCCGGGUAGUCCCUGA